Long non-coding RNA from Bombus huntii, 559 nucleotides. RefSeq lists it as uncharacterized. Lineage: Eukaryota; Metazoa; Arthropoda; Insecta; Hymenoptera; Apidae. The record is from RefSeq and is a predicted model, not a curated record. The transcript is spliced from 3 exons.
AGGUCAUAUUCUUAACUAUCGAUCGCGGCACUAUAAUGUCGCAGACGGAUCGUCGUGUCUGCCCGGCAAACAAACAUUGUAGUGGCAAGCGCAUGGUUCAUUAAGCAGGGCGACUUCCAGAAACGUCGACUCGUGCCCGUAUUUUACCUCGCGUAAAAGAAUGUGGCGUGAUCCGAACGUAGUGGGGGUCGCCUUCCAGAAAAAAACGAAAAAAAUCGAAAGGCGUUCAGAACUUUUCGAGAUGUCGAACCGUCAACACAUGUGGCGCUUGGCCAUGGAUCGUUGCAUUAGGUUUUCGUAAUCCCCGAAACCCAGACAAACCACUAUGGAAGUGCGGAGGUUCCCUGAUAUCGGCUAGGCAUGUUUUGACCGCAGCACAUUGUGCACAUAUGGAUGGAAUAGAAAACAUACACAAUCAUAAUAUUGUCAUUCUUAGAUUGGUGGAGGAGGUGCCAUUUUCGAGGUACGUAUAUCCCAUUUGUACGAAAGAGCCCCUACGAAAGAGCAACUUCGUCGGCUAUAACCCCCUUGUUGCUGGAUCGGGAGCAUUAAGAUAUAG